GCCGGCGUCGCUUAAUCGGUAUAGCGGGAAGUUGAUACCUUCCUGCCCGAAAGGGCUUCUGGGUUCGAAUCCCAGCGCCGGCG
This 83-nucleotide transfer RNA is filed under the name Candidatus Woesearchaeota archaeon. Its description in RNAcentral is "tRNA-Ile". It matches the Rfam family "tRNA". Rfam says of the family: Transfer RNA (tRNA) molecules are approximately 80 nucleotides in length. Their secondary structure includes four short double-helical elements and three loops (D, anti-codon, and T loops). Lineage: Archaea; Nanobdellati; Candidatus Woesearchaeota. The record is from RNAcentral.